UGUUGAUGAUGACAACUCCAAAGGCUUGUUUCUCAAAACAUUCGCAGUGGCCACCUAAGAGCUUUCGCCUUCGCCAGGCUUGAGAGCUAGUGCUGCUUCAAUCCUUCCUUGGAUGUCUGAAACU
This 124-nucleotide small nucleolar RNA is filed under the name Manihot esculenta (cassava). RNAcentral describes it as "Small nucleolar RNA SNORD14". It matches the Rfam family "Small nucleolar RNA SNORD14". Rfam says of the family: U14 small nucleolar RNA (U14 snoRNA) is required for early cleavages of eukaryotic precursor rRNAs. In yeasts, this molecule possess a stem-loop region (known as the Y-domain) which is essential for function. Lineage: Eukaryota; Viridiplantae; Streptophyta; Magnoliopsida; Malpighiales; Euphorbiaceae. The record is from Rfam by way of RNAcentral.